GACGAACGCUGGCGGCGUGCCUAAUACAUGCAAGUUGAGCGAUGAAGAUUGGUGCUUGCACCAAUUUGAAGAGCAGCGAACGGGUGAGUAACGCGUGGGGAAUCUGCCUUUGAGCGGGGGACAACAUUUGGAAACGAAUGCUAAUACCGCAUAAUAACUUUAAACAUAAGUUUUAAGUUUGAAAGAUGCAAUUGCAUCACUCAAAGAUGAUCCCGCGUUGUAUUAGCUAGUUGGUGAGGUAAAGGCUCACCAAGGCGAUGAUACAUAGCCGACCUGAGAGGGUGAUCGGCCACAUUGGGACUGAGACACGGCCCAAACUCCUACGGGAGGCAGCAGUAGGGAAUCUUCGGCAAUGGACGAAAGUCUGACCGAGCAACGCCGCGUGAGUGAAGAAUGUUUUCGGAUCGUAAAACUCUGUUGGUAGAGAAGAACGUUGGUGAGAGUGGAAAGCUCAUCAAGUGACGGUAACUACCCAGAAAGGGACGGCUAACUACGUG
RNAcentral lists this ribosomal RNA (497 nucleotides) under uncultured bacterium. RNAcentral describes it as "partial 16S ribosomal RNA". It matches the Rfam family "Bacterial small subunit ribosomal RNA", at positions 28 to 507 of the family's 1533-position model. The record is from RNAcentral.